RNAcentral lists this non-coding RNA (30 nucleotides) under Homo sapiens (human). The record is from RNAcentral. Lineage: Eukaryota; Metazoa; Chordata; Mammalia; Primates; Hominidae.
UAGGGACUCUGCUUACCCAGUCCUGGGUGU